CGGGUGAGUAACACGUGAGUGACCUGCCUUUUAGACUGGAACAACUUACCGAAAGGUGAGCUAAUGCCGGAUGAGUUAUAUAAGUGCAUGUUUAUAUAGGAAAAGUUGGGGAGACCUGACGCUGAAAGAUGGACUCGCGUCCCAUUAGCUAGUUGGUAGGGUAAUGGCCUACCAAGGCGACGAUGGGUAGCCGGCCUGAGAGGGUGGCCGGCCACACUGGGACUGAGACACGGCCCAGACUCCUACGGGAGGCAGCAG
This 258-nucleotide ribosomal RNA is filed under the name uncultured bacterium. RNAcentral's name for it is "partial 16S ribosomal RNA". It matches the Rfam family "Bacterial small subunit ribosomal RNA", at positions 103 to 354 of the family's 1533-position model. The record is from RNAcentral.